UACGUAGGGUGCGAGCGUUGUCCGGAAUUAUUGGGCGUAAAGAGCUCGUAGGCGGUUUGUCGCGUCGGCCGUGAAAACUUGGGGCUUAACUCCAAGCUUGCGGUCGAUACGGGCAGACUUGAGUUCGGCAGGGGAGACUGGAAUUCCUGGUGUAGCGGUGAAAUGCGCAGAUAUCAGGAGGAACACCAAUGGCGAAGGCAGCUCGCUGGGACGGUACUGACGCUGAGACGCGAAAGCGUGGGGAGCGAACAGG
RNAcentral lists this ribosomal RNA (253 nucleotides) under uncultured bacterium. RNAcentral's name for it is "partial 16S ribosomal RNA". It matches the Rfam family "Bacterial small subunit ribosomal RNA", at positions 524 to 776 of the family's 1533-position model. The record is from RNAcentral.